CAACGUAAACAACCUGCCUUCAGGAUGGGGACAACAGACGGAAACGACUGCUGAUACCGAAUAAGUUCCAAGGGCCGCAUGGCCCAUGGAAGAAAAGGUGGCCUCUACCUGUAAGCUAUCGCCUGAAGAGGGGUUUGCGUCUGAUUAGCUGGUUGGAGGGGUAACGGCCCACCAAGGCGACGAUCAGUAGCCGGUCUGAGAGGAUGAACGGCCACACUGGAACUGAGACACGGUCCAG
RNAcentral lists this ribosomal RNA (238 nucleotides) under uncultured bacterium. RNAcentral describes it as "partial 16S ribosomal RNA". It matches the Rfam family "Bacterial small subunit ribosomal RNA", at positions 113 to 334 of the family's 1533-position model. The record is from RNAcentral.